Mercenaria mercenaria is the source of this 494-nucleotide long non-coding RNA. RefSeq lists it as uncharacterized. The record is from RefSeq and is a predicted model, not a curated record. NCBI's taxonomy places the organism in Eukaryota, Metazoa, Mollusca, Bivalvia, Venerida, Veneridae. The transcript has 3 exons.
UCUAUGUUGUCCUACUGUUCUACAGUCCAAUACCUUUGGCAGUAGAGAUAAAACGUAAGACAAAUAGUAGCAGUGAACAAUGGGAGACCUGGCAACAGUUUGCCAGUGAUUGUCAGAGCUAUUUUAAUGCAGUAGACAAUGGACCACUGCCAACCCCUACUUCCACCAACUGUCUGAAGAUCAACAAAGAUGAACCAGAGUAUUCGAAAGGGAACAUAACAUUCAAUAUAUUGAAUCCUGAACCAGUUCCUCGACCUGGGUACAACGAUUUUUACAACACCCCAGAGCUGUUUGGUUUUGUGAAGGCCAGCCAAGUACAUGUACGUUUACGCGAUCACUCCUUCAUCACCAAUGAGAGACACAAAUACUAUGGACUGUAUGAAUACAGUGUAAUUGCUAGAUGUGAAUGUCAUGGUCAUGCAGCCACAUGUGACCAUACUGAUCUACCAUACCAGUGUUAUUGUUUAUCUGAGAGCCACACUCAGGGUAGGCAG